UACGUAGGGUGCGAGCGUUAAUCGGAAUUACUGGGCGUAAAGCGUGCGCAGGCGGUGAUGUAAGACAGGUGUGAAAUCCCCGGGCUUAACCUGGGAACUGCAUUUGUGACUGCAUAGCUGGAGUACGGCAGAGGGGGAUGGAAUUCCGCGUGUAGCAGUGAAAUGCGUAGAUAUGCGGAGGAACACCGAUGGCGAAGGCAAUCCCCUGGGCCUGUACUGACGCUCAUGCACGAAAGCGUGGGGAGCAAACAGG
RNAcentral lists this ribosomal RNA (253 nucleotides) under uncultured bacterium. Its description in RNAcentral is "partial 16S ribosomal RNA". It matches the Rfam family "Bacterial small subunit ribosomal RNA", at positions 524 to 776 of the family's 1533-position model. The record is from RNAcentral.